AAGUCUUAUAUUCAAUAAUGAUAUUAAAUUGCAAAUUUAAAGGAAAAGUUAAACUUUUAAGGCUUA
RNAcentral lists this transfer RNA (66 nucleotides) under Argopistes tsekooni. RNAcentral describes it as "tRNA-Cys". Lineage: Eukaryota; Metazoa; Arthropoda; Insecta; Coleoptera; Chrysomelidae. The record is from RNAcentral.